This 336-nucleotide ribosomal RNA is filed under the name Triticum aestivum (bread wheat). RNAcentral describes it as "partial small subunit ribosomal RNA". Lineage: Eukaryota; Viridiplantae; Streptophyta; Magnoliopsida; Poales; Poaceae. The record is from RNAcentral.
AUGCAAAUUCCUGCAUUGGAAUGGGAAGAGGAAGUGUAUCCACCUUAUGCAAACGGACCAGGCUAUGUGAUUUCAUCAGAAAUAGCUGAGUACAUCGUAUCCGAGUUUGACAACCAGGCACUGAGAUUGUUUAAGAUGGAAGACGUGAGCAUGGGCAUGUGGGUUCAGAAGUUCAACAAGACUCGCCAGCUAGUGGAGUAUUCGCACGAUGUCAAGUUCUUCCAGGCCGGCUGCUUCGACGGCUACUACACCACGCACUACCAGUCGCCGCAGCACAUAAUCUGCCUGUGGAGGAAGCCGCAGUCCGGGAGUGCUCAAUGCUGCAAUGCCAGAUGA